UACGUAGGGGGCAAGCGUUGUCCGGAAUCAUUGGGCGUAAAGCGCGUGUAGGCGGUUCAGUAAGUCUGCUGUGAAAGCCCAGGGCUCAACCCUGGGAUGCCGGUGGAUACUGCUGGACUAGAGUGCGGAAGAGGCGAGUGGAAUUCCCGGUGUAGCGGUGAAAUGCGCAGAUAUCGGGAGGAAUACCGAUGGCGAAGGCAGGUCUCUGGGCCACUACUGACGCUGAGAAGCGAAAGCAUGGGGAGCGAACAGG
Molecule: ribosomal RNA, 253 nt
Filed under: uncultured bacterium
Lineage: Bacteria
Description: partial 16S ribosomal RNA
Rfam family: Bacterial small subunit ribosomal RNA
Source: RNAcentral